Dreissena polymorpha is the source of this 958-nucleotide long non-coding RNA. RefSeq lists it as uncharacterized. The record is from RefSeq and is a predicted model, not a curated record. The transcript has 3 exons. NCBI's taxonomy places the organism in Eukaryota, Metazoa, Mollusca, Bivalvia, Myida, Dreissenidae.
UCUGUCUGUCAGUCCGUCCACCAGGUGGUUGUCAGACGAUAACUCAAGAACGCUUGGGCCUAGGAUCAUGAAACUUCAUAGGUACAUUGAUCAUGACUUGCAGAUGACCCCUAUUGAUUUUGAGGUCACUAGGUCAAAGGUCAAGGUCACGGUGACCCGAAAUAGUAAAAUGGUUUCCGGAUGAUAACUCAAGAACGCAUACGCCUAGGAUCAUGAAACUUCAUGGGUAGAUUGAUCAUGACUUGCAGAUGACCCCUAUUGAUUUUGAGGUCACUAGGUCAAAGGUCAAGGUCACGGUGACCCGAAAUAGUAAAAUGGUUUCCGGAUGAUAACUCAAGAAUGCAUACGCCUAGGAUCAUGAAACUUCAAGGGUAGAUUGAUCAUGAAUCGCAGAUGACCCCUAUUGAUUUUGAGGUCACUAGGUCAAAGGUCAAGGUCACGGUGACCCGAAAUAGUAAAAUGGUUUUCGGAUGAUAACUCAAGAACGCAUACGCCUAGGAUCAUGAAACUUCAUGGGUAGAUUGAUCAUGACUCGCAGAUGACCCCUAUUGAUUUUGAGGUCACUAGGUCAAAGGUCAAGGUCACGGUGACCCGAAAUAGUAAAAUGGUUUUCGGAUGAUAACUCAAGAACGCAUACGCCUAGGAUCAUGAAACUUAAUAGGUAGAUUGAUCAUGACUUGCAGAUGACCCCUAUUGAUUUUGAGGUCACAAGGUCAAGGUCACGGUGACCCGAAAUAGUAAAAUGGUUUUCGGAUGAUAACUCAAGAACGCUUUUGCCUAGGAUCAUGACACUUCAUAGGUACAUUGAUCGUGACUCGCAGAUGACCCCUAUUGAUUUUCAGGUCACUAGGUCAAAGGUCAAGGUCACAGUGACAAAAAUCGUAUUCACACAAUGGCUGCCACUACAACAAACAGCCCAUAUGGGGGGCAUGCAUGUUUUACAAACAGCCCUUGUUAU